RNAcentral lists this ribosomal RNA (423 nucleotides) under uncultured Prevotella sp. RNAcentral's name for it is "bacterial SSU rRNA". It matches the Rfam family "Bacterial small subunit ribosomal RNA", at positions 355 to 774 of the family's 1533-position model. Lineage: Bacteria; Pseudomonadati; Bacteroidota; Bacteroidia; Bacteroidales; Prevotellaceae. The record is from RNAcentral.
UGAGGAAUAUUGGGUCAAUGGGCGAGAGCCUGAACCAGCCAAGUAGCGUGCAGGAAGACGGCCCUAUGGGUUGUAAACUGCUUUUAUAUGGGGAUAAAGUGAGUUACGUGUAGCUUAUUGCAGGUACCAUAUGAAUAAGGACCGGCUAAUUCCGUGCCAGCAGCCGCGGUAAUACGGAAGGUCCAGGCGUUAUCCGGAUUUAUUGGGUUUAAAGGGAGCGUAGGCCGCCCCUUAAGCGUGUUGUGAAAUGCCGCGGCUCAACCGUGGCACUGCAGCGCGAACUGGGGGGCUUGAGUGCACGCAACGCAGGCGGAAUUCGUGGUGUAGCGGUGAAAUGCUUAGAUAUGACGAAGAACUCCGAUUGCGAAGGCAGCUGACGGGAGCGUUACUGACGCUUAAGCUCGAAAGUGCGGGUAUCGAACA